This 449-nucleotide ribosomal RNA is filed under the name uncultured bacterium. RNAcentral describes it as "bacterial SSU rRNA". It matches the Rfam family "Bacterial small subunit ribosomal RNA", at positions 29 to 521 of the family's 1533-position model. The record is from RNAcentral.
AGCGAACGCUGGCGGCAGGCUUAACACAUGCAAGUCGAGCGGGCGUAGCAAUACGUCAGCGGCAGACGGGUGAGUAACGCGUGGGAACAUACCUUUUGGUUCGGAACAACACAGGGAAACUUGUGCUAAUACCGGAUAAGCCCUUACGGGGAAAGAUUUAUCGCCGAAAGAUUGGCCCGCGUCUGAUUAGCUAGUUGGGGAGGUAACGGCUCACCAAGGCGACGAUCAGUAGCUGGUCNGAGAGGAUGAUCAGCCACAUUGGGACUGAGACACGGCCCAAACUCCUACGGGAGGCAGCAGUGGGGAAUAUUGGACAAUGGGCGAAAGCCUGAUCCAGCCAUGCCGCGUGAGUGAUGAAGGCCCUAGGGUUGUAAAGCUCUUUUGUGCGGGAAGAUAAUGACGGUACCGCAAGAAUAAGCCCCGGCUAACUUCGUGCCAGCCGCCGCUGU